AGUCCAUAGAAGCCGGUUAAGUGCAUCGCCCACAUGUUGAUUUGAUAUUCAUCAUUAGGAUGACCCAUUGUGCUGGUUAUUUGCCGUUCCUUGGAGUCCAUGAGUCUUAAAUUGCAAUUGCCUUCGAGUUCCGAUGCCCGAGUCACGAGCUAAAUUAGAAUGCGAAUUUCAUUCGCUUCGUCGUUCGACUCCCGAUUUAAAAUAAAAUAAAUAUUGACACCC
Molecule: long non-coding RNA, 222 nt
Organism: Dalotia coriaria
Lineage: Eukaryota; Metazoa; Arthropoda; Insecta; Coleoptera; Staphylinidae
Exons: 3
Source: RefSeq, a predicted model, not a curated record